This 67-nucleotide transfer RNA is filed under the name Nuttallia olivacea. RNAcentral describes it as "tRNA-Glu". It matches the Rfam family "tRNA". From Rfam's summary of the family: Transfer RNA (tRNA) molecules are approximately 80 nucleotides in length. Their secondary structure includes four short double-helical elements and three loops (D, anti-codon, and T loops). Lineage: Eukaryota; Metazoa; Mollusca; Bivalvia; Cardiida; Psammobiidae. The record is from RNAcentral.
GUCCUUAUGGUGUAAUUAACACGUUAGGUUUUCAACCUAAAGAUAAAGUACUAUGCUUUUAAGAACU